Molecule: ribosomal RNA, 305 nt
Filed under: Enterobacter cloacae complex sp. P38RS
Lineage: Bacteria; Pseudomonadati; Pseudomonadota; Gammaproteobacteria; Enterobacterales; Enterobacteriaceae
Description: partial 23S ribosomal RNA
Rfam family: Bacterial large subunit ribosomal RNA
Source: RNAcentral
GGCGUAGUCGAUGGGAAACAGGUUAAUAUUCCUGUACUUGGUGUUACUGCGAAGGGGGGACGGAGAAGGCUAUGUCAGCCGGGCGACGGUUGUCCCGGUUUAAGCGUGUAGGUGUGUGUUCCAGGCAAAUCCGGUUCACUUUAACACUGAGGCGUGAUGACGAGGCACUACGGUGCUGAAGUGAUAAAUGCCCUGCUUCCAGGAAAAGCCUCUAAGCAUCAGGUAACACGAAAUCGUACCCCAAACCGACACAGGUGGUCAGGUAGAGAAUACCAAGGCGCUUGAGAGAACUCGGGUGAAGGAAC